RNAcentral lists this ribosomal RNA (506 nucleotides) under uncultured bacterium. RNAcentral's name for it is "partial 16S ribosomal RNA". It matches the Rfam family "Bacterial small subunit ribosomal RNA", at positions 29 to 523 of the family's 1533-position model. The record is from RNAcentral.
AGUGAACGCUGGCGGUAGGCCUAACACAUGCAAGUCGAACGGCAGCACAGAGGAGCUUGCUCCUUGGGUGGCGAGUGGCGGACGGGUGAGGAAUACAUCGGAAUCUACUCUGUCGUGGGGGAUAACGUAGGGAAACUUACGCUAAUACCGCAUACGACCUACGGGUGAAAGCAGGGGACCUUCGGGCCUUGCGCGAUUGAAUGAGCCGAUGUCGGAUUAGCUAGUUGGCGGGGUAAAGGCCCACCAAGGCGACGAUCCGUCGCUGGUCUGAGAGGAUGAUCAGCCACACUGGAGCUGAGACACGGUCCAGAGUCCUACGGGAGGCAGCAGUGGGGAAUAUUGGACAAUGGGCGCAAGCCUGAUCCAGACAUACCGCGUGGGUGAAGAGGGCCUUCGGGUUGUAAAGCCCUUUUGUUGGGAAAGAAAUCCAGCUGGCUAAUACCCGGUUGGGAUGACGGUACCCAAAGAAUAAGCACCGGCUAACUUCGUGCCAGCCGCCGCAGUAA